RNAcentral lists this ribosomal RNA (253 nucleotides) under uncultured prokaryote. RNAcentral describes it as "partial 16S ribosomal RNA". It matches the Rfam family "Bacterial small subunit ribosomal RNA", at positions 525 to 777 of the family's 1533-position model. The record is from RNAcentral.
ACGGGGGGAGCAAGCGUUGUUCGGAAUCAUUGGGCGUAAAGCGCGUGUAGGCGGCCCGGUAAGUCCGCUGUGAAAGUCGGGGGCUCAACCCUCGAAUGCCGGUGGAUACUGUCGGGCUAGAGUGCGGAAGAGGCGAGUGGAAUUCCUGGUGUAGCGGUGAAAUGCGCAGAUAUCAGGAGGAACACCAAUUGCGAAGGCAGCUCGCUGGGACGUGACUGACGCUGAGACGCGAAAGCGUGGGGAGCAAACAGGA